Molecule: ribosomal RNA, 603 nt
Filed under: Salmonella enterica subsp. enterica serovar Hadar
Lineage: Bacteria; Pseudomonadati; Pseudomonadota; Gammaproteobacteria; Enterobacterales; Enterobacteriaceae
Description: partial 23S ribosomal RNA
Rfam family: Bacterial large subunit ribosomal RNA
Source: RNAcentral
AGGGAAACCGAGUCUUAACCGGGCGUUAAGUUGCAGGGUAUAGACCCGAAACCCGGUGAUCUAGCCAUGGGCAGGUUGAAGGUUGGGUAACACUAACUGGAGGACCGAACCGACUAAUGUUGAAAAAUUAGCGGAUGACCUGUGGCUGGGGGUGAAAGGCCAAUCAAACCGGGAGAUAGCUGGUUCUCCCCGAAAGCUAUUUAGGUAGCGCCUCGUGAAUUCAUCUCCGGGGGUAGAGCACUGUUUCGGCUAGGGGGCCAUCCCGGCUUACCAACCCGAUGCAAACUGCGAAUACCGGAGAAUGUUAUCACGGGAGACACACGGCGGGUGCUAACGUCCGUCGUGAAGAGGGAAACAACCCAGACCGCCAGCUAAGGUCCCAAAGUCAUGGUUAAGUGGGAAACGAUGUGGGAAGGCCCAGACAGCCAGGAUGUUGGCUUAGAAGCAGCCAUCAUUUAAAGAAAGCGUAAUAGCUCACUGGUCGAGUCGGCCUGCGCGGAAGAUGUAACGGGGCUAAACCAUGCACCGAAGCUGCGGCAGCGACGCUGAUGCGUUGUUGGGUAGGGGAGCGUUCUGUAAGCCUGUGAAGGUGUGUCGUGAGGC